This 301-nucleotide ribosomal RNA is filed under the name uncultured bacterium. RNAcentral's name for it is "partial 16S ribosomal RNA". It matches the Rfam family "Bacterial small subunit ribosomal RNA", at positions 509 to 807 of the family's 1533-position model. The record is from RNAcentral.
CAGCCGCCGCGGUAAUACAGAGGAUGCAAGCGUUAUCCGGAAUGAUUGGGCGUAAAGCGUCUGUAGGUGGCUUUUCAAGUCCGCCGUCAAAUCCCAGGGCUCAACCCUGGACAGGCGGUGGAAACUACCAAGCUGGAGUACGGUAGGGGCAGAGGGAAUUUCCGGUGGAACGGUGAAAUGCGUUGAGAUCGGAAAGAACACCAACGGCGAAAGCACUCCGCUGGGCCGACACUGACACUGAGAGACGAAAGCUAGGGGAGCAAAUGGGAUUAGAUACCCCCGUAGUCCCUGUCUCUUAUAC